CAUUUGGGUCGAGAAUGGGCUUUAGGCUCAUUCGUAUUGUUAUCCUUGUUUAGAAUACUUUAGUUUACCAAAUUAUUGAAAUACCCUUGACUUGUAAAAUUAUCAAAGUACACCUGAUUUACAGAAUUACCGUUUUACCCUCGAUUUCCAAAUUAUUGAAAUACCUUGUAGGGUAGAAUUACUGAAAUACCCCUGUAGGGUAGAAUUACUAAAAUACCCUUGUAG
RNAcentral lists this long non-coding RNA (225 nucleotides) under Gossypium barbadense (sea-island cotton). RNAcentral describes it as "long non-coding RNA (GBAR_LNC001507)". The record is from RNAcentral. Lineage: Eukaryota; Viridiplantae; Streptophyta; Magnoliopsida; Malvales; Malvaceae.